This 508-nucleotide ribosomal RNA is filed under the name uncultured bacterium. RNAcentral's name for it is "partial 16S ribosomal RNA". It matches the Rfam family "Bacterial small subunit ribosomal RNA", at positions 28 to 523 of the family's 1533-position model. The record is from RNAcentral.
GAUGAACGCUAGCUACAGGCUUAACACAUGCAAGUCGAGGGGAAACGAUAGAGAAAGCUUGCUUUUUCUAGGCGUCGACCGGCGCACGGGUGAGUAACGCGUAUCCAACCUGCCCACCACUUGGGGAUAACCUUGCGAAAGUAAGACUAAUACCCAAUGACGUCCAUAGAAGACAUCUGAAAUGGAUUAAAGAUUUAUCGGUGAUGGAUGGGGAUGCGUCUGAUUAGCUUGUUGGCGGGGUAACGGCCCACCAAGGCGACGAUCAGUAGGGGUUAUGAGAGAAAGGUCCCCCAAAUGGGAACGAAGCAACGGACCAAACUCCAACGGGAGGCAGCAGGGAGGAAUAUUGGUCAAUGGGCGAGAGCCUGAACCAGCCAAGUAGCGUGCAGGAUGACGGCCCUAUGGGUUGUAAACUGCUUUUAUAAGGGAAUAAAGUGAGUCUCGUGAGACUUUUUGCAUGUACCUUAUGAAUAAGGACCGGCUAAUUCCGUGCCAGCAGCCGCCGUAA